RNAcentral lists this long non-coding RNA (882 nucleotides) under Rhinopithecus roxellana (golden snub-nosed monkey). Its description in RNAcentral is "lncRNA (ENSRROG00000045818.1)". The record is from RNAcentral. Lineage: Eukaryota; Metazoa; Chordata; Mammalia; Primates; Cercopithecidae.
UGGGGACGCACUGUUUCAGUUGAGCUCCUGUUUGGUUUUGUGUCUCCGCGGUGUUUCCAAGAGUCUCGGCGUUUCUACCUCUUAGCACCCUUUCUUGCCACCCUUUGUCCUGUGGAAGCCCAGAGACAUCAGCGGUUGCAACUGUGCUACUCGCUGCUCGGCAUGGAAGGGUCAGGUACCGCAGUUCAGCGCUCUUGGCCCCGCAGGUCCUCGGGCAUCCCUGUGCCCCGUCCUGUACAUUGUUAUGCUCCGACUUCCUAGGGUCGAAGUUAUUGCCUGCUGGGUUUUAGAAGCUAUUGCUUUACGUCUGAGAAAAAAAUCCCAGAAAGGACAAAAAAUAAUAUCCAAGGAUAUUUUGGCACUAAUGGCGCAAUCUGUAGCAAGAAAGUUGAGCAGUCUGAACUGUUGAGACUUCCAAGGAGACUUCAGAGAACCAAAACAGUGUAAAGGAAAACAGGAAAAAAGACUUGUUAGACAUUAUUAAGGGCACGAAAGUUGAAUCGAGCACAGUAAAUGUACAAACAACAAAGCCACCCAGCAGAAGUCCACUUAAAAGCGACGACUGGCGGGCCUCAAAGAGCUGCAGAACAUGCUCCAAAGAAGAGUUUCAGUAACAAAAUAUCAGAUACGAAAAUUGCCAGAUGUGCUACAGCUAAGGUUAGUAUAAGUCAAGAGCAUCAUAUUCAGUUUGACCAAGUCUUUGACAAUUAUCCUGACCAGGAGAAGACCGCUGAUCUUAGAAACAGGAAAAUACAUUCAUGGGGAAGAGACAUAAUAGUUUUGACAUUACGGCAGUUACAGCACCUGAACAUGUUUGUUAAGAAUAACUGCUUCUCAGGUGGAGAAAUAAUUUCAUCUCUUCAAGAUGUCCUUAGGUUUUGA